UACAGAGGGUGCGAGCGUUGUUCGGAAUUAUUGGGCGUAAAGGGCGCGUAGGCGGUGCGGUAAGUCACCUGUGAAAUCUCCUGGCUCAACUGGGAGCUUGCAGGCGAAACUGCCGUGCUGGAGUGUGGGAGAGGUGCGUGGAAUUCCUGGUGUAGCGGUGAAAUGCGCAGAUAUCGGGAGGAACACCGGUGGCGAAGGCGGUUCUCUGGGCCUUACCUGACGCGGAGGCGCGAAAGCUAGGGGAGCAAACGGG
RNAcentral lists this ribosomal RNA (253 nucleotides) under uncultured bacterium. RNAcentral's name for it is "partial 16S ribosomal RNA". It matches the Rfam family "Bacterial small subunit ribosomal RNA", at positions 524 to 776 of the family's 1533-position model. The record is from RNAcentral.